GACGAACGCUGGCGGCGUGCCUAACACAUGCAAGUCGAGCGAAUGAAAUUCCUUCGGGAAUGGAUUUAGCGGCGGACGGGUGAGUAACACGUGGGCAACCUGCCUCAUAGAGGGGAAUAGCCUUCCGAAAGGGAGAUUAAUACCGCAUAAGAUUGUAGUAUCGCAUGAUACAGCAAUUAAAGGAGCAAUCCGCUAUGAGAUGGGCCCGCGGCGCAUUAGCUAGUUGGUGAGGUAACGGCUCACCAAGGCGACGAUGCGUAGCCGACCUGAGAGGGUGAUCGGCCACAUUGGGACUGAGACACGGCCCAGACUCCUACGGGAGGCAGCAGUGGGGAAUAUUGCACAAUGGGGGAAACCCUGAUGCAGCAACGCCGCGUGAGUGAUGACGGCCUUCGGGUUGUAAAGCUCUGUCUUCAGGGACGAUAAUGACGGUACCUGAGGAGGAAG
RNAcentral lists this ribosomal RNA (447 nucleotides) under uncultured bacterium. Its description in RNAcentral is "bacterial SSU rRNA". It matches the Rfam family "Bacterial small subunit ribosomal RNA", at positions 28 to 490 of the family's 1533-position model. The record is from RNAcentral.